Molecule: long non-coding RNA, 473 nt
Organism: Dermochelys coriacea (leatherback sea turtle)
Lineage: Eukaryota; Metazoa; Chordata; Testudines; Dermochelyidae
Exons: 2
Source: RefSeq, a predicted model, not a curated record
UUACAUAAAUGUAAUAGUGUAGUUGCUAAAAAUAUAUUGCUUGGGAUUGCAAUAUCUGCCCCAGUGUGAUUGCAGGAAAGAGUCUUGAAGUUGCAAUCCUCUGCAACCAUUCCUUGGCCUGGCAUUUUUAUCCCCCAAAAUUGCAGAGCACCCACAACUCCAGUCAAAGUCAGUGGGAGGUGUGAGUCCUCAGAAUGUCAGAAAACAAGACAUAACUCUCUCCUAGGUUGAGGACUUGUGCCACAGAAGCAGAAAGAAAUUUGCAGCAGGCAAUUAUAGUGCGGGCACAAAAUGAGUGGCUGGGAUCAUGAUGCUGAGCAAGGCAAGAGAUGGAGCACUUAAUUAGGAUUUGUUUUUUGAAGAAAAAAGCUGCUUAUUUCAAUAGUUUUUUGGAACAUCAGUUUGUGGAGAAGGACCGGCUCAGGGAGUAAUGAUGGUGUCAUUAGAGGUGCAGUCUGGGAUGUUUGACAUUU